GUUAAUGUAGCUUAACAAUAAAGCAAAGCACUGAAAAUGCUUAGAUGGAUUACUCCAAUCCCAUGAA
This 67-nucleotide transfer RNA is filed under the name Hylomyscus baeri (Baer's wood mouse). Its description in RNAcentral is "tRNA-Phe". It matches the Rfam family "tRNA". From Rfam's summary of the family: Transfer RNA (tRNA) molecules are approximately 80 nucleotides in length. Their secondary structure includes four short double-helical elements and three loops (D, anti-codon, and T loops). Lineage: Eukaryota; Metazoa; Chordata; Mammalia; Rodentia; Muridae. The record is from RNAcentral.